UGGGGAAUAUUGCGCAAUGGCCGAAAGGUUGACGCAGCGACGCCGCGUGUGGGAGGAAGCCCUUCGGGGUGUAAACCACUGUCAGGGGGGAAGAACUCCGUGGGUGCGAAUACCACUCGCGAAUGACGGUACCCCCAGAGGAAGCGCCGGCUAACUCCGUGCCAGCAGCCGCGGUAAGACGGAGGGCGCAAGCGUUGUUCGGAAUUACUGGGCGUAAAGCGCUCGCAGGCCGUCCCUUAAGUCCGCUGUGAAACUCCGGGGCUCAACCCCGGACUUGCAGCGGAUACUGGGGGACUGGAGACCGGUAGAGGCUAGCGGAAUUCCUGGUGUAGCGGUGGAAUGCGUAGAUAUCAGGAAGAACACCGGUGGCGAAGGCGGCUAGCUGGGCCGGUUCUGACGCUCAUGAGCGAAAGCGUGGGGAGCAAACAGGAUUAGAUACCCCCGUAGUCC
This 450-nucleotide ribosomal RNA is filed under the name uncultured prokaryote. RNAcentral's name for it is "bacterial SSU rRNA". It matches the Rfam family "Bacterial small subunit ribosomal RNA", at positions 355 to 796 of the family's 1533-position model. The record is from RNAcentral.